CCCUUAGAUGUUCUGGGCCGCACGCGCGCUACACUGAGCCCUUCAUCGAGUUUACAACCUUGGCCGGUAGGUCUGGGUAAUCUUCUCAAAGGGGCUCGUGCAGGGGAUAGAUUAUUGUAAUUUUUAAUCUUCAACGAGGAAUUCCUAGUAAACGCAAGUCAACAGCUUGCAUUGAUUACGUCCCUGCCCUUUGUACACACCGCCCGUCGCUACUACCGAUUGAAUGGCUUAGUGAGCCCGAGGGACUGUUGCACCUAGAGGGUUUUCUCUCCAGGAGCAGCCGGGAACUCGGUCAAACUUGAUCAUUUAGAGGAAGUAAAAGUCGUAACA
This 330-nucleotide ribosomal RNA is filed under the name uncultured eukaryote. RNAcentral describes it as "partial 18S ribosomal RNA". It matches the Rfam family "Eukaryotic small subunit ribosomal RNA", at positions 1470 to 1796 of the family's 1831-position model. The record is from RNAcentral.